This 1277-nucleotide long non-coding RNA is filed under the name Homo sapiens (human). RNAcentral's name for it is "HSALNT0123379". Lineage: Eukaryota; Metazoa; Chordata; Mammalia; Primates; Hominidae. The record is from RNAcentral.
UGCCACGUCCCAUCCUCUCAAAACCUGUGUUACCCUGUGGCUAGAUUUCUCAAGGAGAUGAAAGAGAGAGACGAAUGAGAACCAUCUUCUUUCAGGGUGCUCUGCACUGUUCCUGCAGGUAGACAACGACCUCUCCGGUAAGGCUAUUAUCCUUGGCUGGGGGGUGGAGGCCUUAAUCCUAGAAAAGAGGCCUUUCAGGGUGGGGAGGCGAUUUAAAUUCUUAUGAGAGAGACGCAGCUCCCCACCUCAUCUGGACCUUCACAAACCUAAACUGGAACCGCCGGAAAAAUGACUGACAACCGGCCACACAAGCCAGGCAGAGACGCGGGGAGAGGCUGACCACAAGAAAGGAGGACGUAGAAAAUACCACCCUCUGGCGCACAGGGCACAUGUGUCCCAACACGCACACACAGACGGACACAGAGCAAAAGAGUGAGAAAGGGGAGAGAGAGAAACAAGAGAGAGAUAUACGUACACACACAAACGCACAAAGACAUACAGCAGUGGCACGGUAACACCUACCCCCAGGUAGCCCCUGAAUUUUCAGGGUUCUGCUCUCCACGACUACAACCCACUGGUGAGAGAGCAGCCCAGGGGCACACAAGAAAACCUCUCCUUUUUUGAAGAGACUCACUGGCACACUGUCCGUGCAGGCCUGAGGCUGGGAUCCCGCACUGCUUCCCCGGCCCUCCGCCCGCAGCUUCUUCCUCCUGGACGACCCUCCGUGAAUCCCGGCCUCCAGAGACUAUCCUGUUGAUGCCCUGGCCAUGACUGGUCUUAGCCCCGGCCAUGACUGGUCUUAGCCCCGACUCUGACUAAUCCCUGUAGUCCCAGGUACUCGGGAGGCGGAGGCAAGAGAAUCACUUGAACACAGGCGGCAGAGUUUGCAGUCAGCUGAGAUCCCACCACUGCACUCGACUGAGCGACAGAGUGAGACUCUGACUAUAAAAAAAAAAAAAAAAAAAGAAAGAAAAGAAAAAUGACCGUGGAGCGGCGGCUGCGGGAGUAGGGCGGCGGCGGGUGAAGUGAAGAUUGGGAGAGAGGCCUCGUCAACUCUCCCCGAAUCCAGGCCUGAGGCUGGGAUCUCGCGCUGCCGCCCAGGUGAUCCGCCUGAGGUUUCUUCCUUGUGAGGUUUCUUCCUGGUGGUCGACCCUCCGAGAAUCCCAGGCUCCGGAGACCAUCCUGUUAAUGCCCUGGCCAGGACUGCUCUCAGACUUGACCCUGACGCACUAUCACACGGGGCUCCUACUUCGCAAAGUCUCAGAAACCCAUCCCCG